ACACCUGCAGCACAUGGAAGUUCCCAGGCUAGGGGUUGAAUCUGAGCCACAGCUGCCAGCCUACACAACAGCCACAGCAAUGCAGGAUCUGAGUUGAGUCUGUGACCUACACCACAGCCAUAGCAACAAAGGACUGGAGCUGUAUCUGUGACCCAUGCUACAGCUUGUAGCAAUGCUGGAUCCUUAACCCACUGAAUGAGGCCAGGGAUGGAACCCGCAUCCUCACAGUCGCUAUGUUGGGUUCUUAAUUGCUAACAAUAGGUGUAGUAAAUUUCAUCUACACACCUUACUAUUGAAGAAUUCAUCAUAUUACUCUGUAUGGCAAUAGCCACUGGCUAUGAAGAUGUUUGCCCUGGAUAUGAGAGCUUAUGAGUCUUCUUUUGCCUUUCUUGGAACUGCUACAGCAGACUCAUUCUUUAAAACAAGCAAAAAAAAAAGAUGAAAAGCCAUUUUUUAAAAAGAGAAAAACCAUCUGCCUUAGCAAAAUCCUUUCUACAUUUUUAUACGAAAGAACUUUUUCUUGCCAAGGGGAACUUUUACCUAGCCUAAGAGGAAUUUCUCUUCAGUGCCCUACCUAAUGCAGAACUCACCUGCAGAAGUCUAUUCAAUAUGUGCCUUAACAAUUCAUCUGUAGGUAUGGCAGCCCAAUUUAAUGCAUCUAAUGGAGAGCAGGAAGGCUCAGGAAUCAGAGACCAGAAUUAAAACCUCAAUCUGCACCGAUUAGUAGGGGCACACUACAUCCCCAUUUAUGGCUGUUAUCCCAGUUUUAUCAUCAAUUUAAUACACCUCCUUUCAGUCUCAAAAGUGUUCAGGUCUGGCUAAUAAAUUAUAUGAUCACCUUAUGGUUAUGUGUGUCAUUGCAGGCAAGACACUUAGCUUCCCCAUACACUGGUUUCACAUCUGUCCAAUGAAAGUAAGGGGUUCUAAUUUACAGGGUUGUCAUAAGCAUGAAAUUAGACAGUGGUGCUCAAGGCUUGGUUCUCAGGAGUGCCCAGUAUUCCUCUGAACACCAGCUAUGCUCAAGAGGUCCACUUUCUGGAAAAAGCAUUGCUCUGUAUGUGAAGUCUUCACCUUUAGACUGUCGGUUUGAAGACAGGAUCUGUAGUUUCCAUUUUUCAUGGUGAUAAAAUCUAUAAAAUGGUAAUGAGAUCCAUGUCCAGCAGCGUACAAUUAAUUCUGCCAUCCCUGACCAGGAGACAAAUCACUUAUGGAUAUUUAAGCUCCUAUACUCUAGAUCUUCUGGACUUUAUUUACUCUCUCCAUAAAGGUAAGAUGAAGAUCAAAAUUCACCCCAAAUCAAACCUCUAUGAAAAGUAGGCCAAGUGAAUGUGGUGCCCAUCAGGGAGGUGGGAGGGGUAAGAGAUCCUUCAAAGGGAGUGAAAGCCCCACCCCUUGGCCAAUAAAUCUGGUGGAUUUCUUACUUUCUCUCACCUAAAAGACUGGCCUUGCCCAUCGAAUGAUAGGACAGUUUCUUGAUGCAAGGUUCUGAGGCAACUCAUUUAAAAAAUUAGGUCAAAUGGUACCCAAAAUCUUGCACAUGAAUCUGUACUAGCAGUUAUCAGCCCAAGAAGCAAUGGGAUAUGCUGUUCCUUUUUACAAAGAAGAAAGACAAGAGACAGAGAGACAGAGAUGCUAUCGCUUCACUGAUAGGCUUGUUAAAUACAAAGAUGUUCUCUUUAGUCUUUAGACAUGAGCAGUAACCAUAUCUUAGAAUGGAGUGGCUCCUACUUCUUUAAGGGAGUGGCUCUGACUUCAUGAGAAAUUUGAUCAAUAACUAAAUCCAGGAAAAAUGAAGCCUCAAAAUUUGAAACUAUCCUAUUCCAAUCUUCAGCACAGUAUCUUCUGAAACAAAGAAUGAAAAAUAUAAUUCCCAUGAUUAUUCAAUAUGGUGGCCCACCGCAUUCAUGUUGGAUGUGUGACGAUCCCUCCCCGGCGCAAUUGCUACAGAUUUCAAAAGCAACUGUUCAGCAUGUUCUAAAUAUAGACUUAGAAGUUGCUGGGGGGAAAGAUGCACAUGGCAACAAAACAAUGACUCCACAUCUGGAGGACAGCAAGGAGCAGUGCAGUAGGCUGUUCUGUGGCAAAGUCAUUUCCUCUCAACAGAAGUCUCCAGAAACAGGAUAAAGGCUGACACCAUCCCCAGGAACCCAGUUAUAUCUGGGGCACAGCACCCUCGAGGAUGGGACUCCCUGGUGGCUAGGUAACAACCAGGACAAAGCCCUGGUGGACCUGUCCACUUUCACCCCAAACCCUAAUUUCUGGGAAAUUUCCCCUCCCCCACAAAUUAGGAAAAUACACCGGCAGCCAUUUCCACAACCUGUUUCUUGGGCAAUAGGGUACUUCUUAGAGCUGUGUGGUGAUUCUAUCACUUUGAAGCAAACGAAGAGGAAAACAGAAGCUGGGCUGUCUAUAGGGAAUUUUCCUGCCAAAUGUCUAUGUUUUUCUUUUUUUUCUGCACUUGAAAAACUAAACCAGAAAAAACACACUUCUGUUAAGGAUUCAGAUAAUCAGCACGUGCGGCUUUUAAUGCAUCACGUACUGAUCGAUACAUGCUUGCCAGAGGAGUGUUCUGACAAACUUGUCUCCUCUUGCAUGAUAAAGGAAUGAACCGAGGGCAAAUCAAGUGCCAUUUCUUCUUAGAGCAGGUCUAAGAAGAAAAUAAGCCAACUGGAGAUAAGCCCGCACCCCCUCCACACCCAUACCUGGCAGUCUUGAGGAAAGGCUGAGUCAGGAGGAGGUCAAUGGAAGAGAGAGGGCAGUGGUGGGGUGUGUGAUGUCCAGGAGGCUCCACAUUUCCACUCCACAAUUUCUGUACCACCCACCCCUUGGCAGAUGGGUGAGGUGGUACCCCUUCCCAAAAUGUUUUAAAUGCAUAAAAAUAAAAUGCACAGGAUUACAGAGAAAGUCAAUUAUAUUUCACUAGGGUUACCCCAACCUUAUUAAUGGUGACAUAAUAACACAUGUGCUUAUUUAUUAAUGCAUUAAAUAACACUACCCAGCAGCACGUGUAAUCACCACCAUCAUUUCUAAGUCAAAAUGAGUAGGUCAUUUCAAGAUUAUCUGUCAGCCAUCCAUAAUGUUAGAGGAAACUAUCAGAUUUUCACUGGUGAUAAAGUCACAGACAAUGCUCUACUACUCUGAUUUGUGGCCAAGGUCCAGAUGUUAGGGAAUCACUCAAUUUUAGUGAGAAGUUAGUGAAAAUCAAGGUGUCAUAUUUUCCCAUGCAAGCCCACAGGUCUCCUUGGAUUUCUGCAAAGUGGUCUGCAGUAGUUCACCUGAAACUCAUACUAUAAUCUGAGAUCAUCCCCUACUCUUACGGCCUCUUCAGAAUAAUAAGACCCACAGGGGAGCCUGAACCCAGCAGGAGAACCAGCCACCCUACAAGGGAAGGGGGAGGAUCCACACCCAUGGAAGGAGCAGGAUGGGGCCAACAUCUCUAUACUUAAUUUCUCAGUCAGCUCUACCCAAUGCAUGGGCUACAGUUUUUUGUUUUUUGUCUUUUUUAGGGCCGCACCCGCGGCAUAUGGAGGUUCCCAGGCUAGGGGUCUAAGCAGGGCUAUUGCCACUGGCCUACGCCACACCCACAGCAACGCCACAUCUGAGCCGCAUCUGUGACCUAUACCACAGCUCAAGGCAACGCCGUAUGCUUAACCCACUGAUUGAGGCCAGGGAUCGAACCCGCAACCUCAUGGUUCCUAGUUGGAGUCGUUUCCUCUGUGCCACAACGGGAACUCCUACAGUUUUUGUUUGUUUGUUUGUUUGUUUUUAAUGGUUAGUGUUAAGAUUUAUUUAAUUCAGUAGAUUCAUGGACGGUAGGGGAUUACUUUGUAAAUCACUUCCCCUGAUGUUGAGUUCUAAACCCUAUUAGCUC
RNAcentral lists this long non-coding RNA (3871 nucleotides) under Sus scrofa (pig). Its description in RNAcentral is "lncRNA (ENSSSCG00060066311.1)". Lineage: Eukaryota; Metazoa; Chordata; Mammalia; Artiodactyla; Suidae. The record is from RNAcentral.